UACGUAGGGUGCAAGCGUUGUUCGGAAUUAUUGGGCGUAAAGCGCGCGUAGGCGGGUUUGUAAGUCGAUUGUGAAAGCCCUGGGCUUAACCUGGGAAUGGCAGUCGAAACUGCAAGUCUUGAAUACCUAAGAGGAUGGCGGAAUUCCCGGUGUAGUAGUGAAAUACGUAGAUAUCGGGAGGAACACCUGAGGCGAAGGCGGCUAUCUGGUGGUGUAUUGACGCUGAGGCGCGAAAGCGUGGGGAGCAAACAGG
RNAcentral lists this unclassified non-coding RNA (253 nucleotides) under uncultured Oligoflexaceae bacterium. RNAcentral's name for it is "contains 16S-23S intergenic spacer region". It matches the Rfam family "Bacterial small subunit ribosomal RNA", at positions 524 to 776 of the family's 1533-position model. The record is from RNAcentral. Lineage: Bacteria; Pseudomonadati; Bdellovibrionota; Oligoflexia; Oligoflexales; Oligoflexaceae.